Molecule: non-coding RNA, 934 nt
Organism: Camelina sativa (false flax)
Lineage: Eukaryota; Viridiplantae; Streptophyta; Magnoliopsida; Brassicales; Brassicaceae
Source: RefSeq, a predicted model, not a curated record
CUCUGUUGAAAGUUUCAUUUACAGGUACACAGAUAUUCUCAAUUGAUCGCGGUAGUGGGGAGCUAUUUAUUGGUACCGGAGAAAAAUCUGCUGAUCUACGACUUCUUUUGGUUGCGGACAUUGAAUUUUCCAAGUUUUCAUCAGGCAACUAACAUUAAGGAUUGUGGAUACCAUAUUCUACCAAGAAAUGCUAAUAUCUUUGCUCCAUUAAGGGUUCAAGAAUCCACAAGAAGGGCAAUGGUUUUCCUUGGAUAUUGACUACUAUCACCAUCUUCCCUCGAGACAAUCUGGAACCGCGGGACUCUCACGGAAUGUGAGUGAGAGACCAUCAGCUGGCAGCCUGGGCAUAACGACAUGCCAAGCUGGAUUGAUAAGAAGCUGUGAAGCCUCAAAUGCAUUAGAGACACUCUUUAACCCUGCAAACGAUAUAACCGCUAGAUCUGAUUUUGGCAAACCUAAGGACGCAGACGACAAUGAUACCAUUAGCUACAUUGCAGGCUUGGUAAAUGCCGGUCAGCGUAGGAACCCCACAAGUUUCAUCAGCCAAGAUCAGCUCCAGGGUUUCCGCAGUGCUGCUUGUGUAUUGACGCCACGAGUGAAGGACUUUGACUUGCACUCGCCAUGCGGUCUUAUACGGGCGGACGUCUCUCAAAAAAGCGAAUGUUGCUGCCAUUUCUCUCAAUGUUUUUAGCUAUGCGGAUGUAGGUAUGAAGAAGUGUGUGUUGUGUUUCUCUUUAGAAAUUGAUAUUUAUAGUUGGAGAAAUGGUUGCUCAGCAAGGAGUUAUACGAUCCUUAAGCAAUAAUUUAUGUAUUCCUAUUUGAGUUGUGAGAAUAUUGCAGAACAAUAUUUAGUUUCUAAAGAAGAUAUGUACACAAAUAAAUGAAUUGCUUGCGUACAAAGUUAUAUAUUUGCUAACAUUGUGAUUUCCUUAAC